CAGGUUGAUCCUGCCGGACCUGACUGCUAUCUGAUUGGUACUAAGCCAUGCGAGUCGUUGUACAAUACAAGGCGGACUGCUCAGUAACACGUAGUUAACUUAACCUAUGGAUGGGAAUAACCUCGGGAAACUGAGAAUAAUACCCAAUGGGCCACAGUGCCUGGAAUGGCCUGUGGUUGAAAUGAUUUAUCGCCGUAGGAUAGGACUGCGGCCUAUCAGCUUGUUGGUGAGGUAAUGGCCCACCAAGGCUAUAACAGGUACGGGCUCUGAGAGGAGGGGCCCGGAGAUGGGUACUGAGACACGGACCCAGGCCCUAUGGGGCGCAGCAGGCGAGAAACCUUUGCAAUGUGCGAAAGCACGACAAGGUUAAUCCGAGUGUCUCCUGCUAAAGGAGUCUUUUGUCAGUUGUAGAAUCACUGGUGACUAAGGGGUGGGCAAGUUCUGGUGUCAGCCGCCGCGGUAAAACCAGCACCUCGAGUGGUCAGGAGGUUUAUUGGGCCUAAAGCAUCCGUAGCCGGUUGCAUAAGUUUUCGGUUAAAUCUAUGCGCUUAACGUAUAGGCCGNCGAAAAUACUGUGCAGUAGGGAGUGGGAGAGGUCACGGUACUCGAUA
RNAcentral lists this ribosomal RNA (611 nucleotides) under uncultured archaeon. RNAcentral describes it as "bacterial SSU rRNA". It matches the Rfam family "Archaeal small subunit ribosomal RNA", at positions 4 to 624 of the family's 1478-position model. The record is from RNAcentral.